This 497-nucleotide ribosomal RNA is filed under the name uncultured bacterium. RNAcentral's name for it is "partial 16S ribosomal RNA". It matches the Rfam family "Bacterial small subunit ribosomal RNA", at positions 28 to 507 of the family's 1533-position model. The record is from RNAcentral.
GAUGAACGCUGGCGGCGUGCCUAAUACAUGCAAGUCGAGCGAACAGACGAGGAGCUUGCUCCUUUGACGUUAGCGGCGGACGGGUGAGUAACACGUGGAUAACCUACCUAUAAGACUGGGAUAACUUCGGGAAACCGGAGCUAAUACCGGAUAACAUGUUGAACCGCAUGGUUCAACAGUGAAAGACGGUCUUGAUGUCACUUAUACAUGUAUCCGCGCCGCAUUAGCUAGUUGGUAAGGUAACGGCUUACCAAGGCAACGAUGCGUAGCCGACCUGAGAGGGUGAUCAGCCACACUGGAACUGAGACACGGUCCAGACUCCUACGGGAGGCAGCAGUAGGGAAUAUUCCACAAUGGGCGAAAGCCUGACGCAGCAACGCCGCGUGAGUGAAGAAGGUCUUCGGAUUGUAAAACUCUGUUAGUAGGGAAGAAGGAAUGUGUAAGUAAAUAUGGACGUCUUGACGGUACCUAAACAAAAAGCCACGGCUAACUACGUG